UGGUGGCGAUGGCGGAGGGGUCCCACACGUUCCCAUCCCGAACACGACCGUUAAGCCCUCCAGCGCCGAUGGUACUUGGACCGAAGGGUCCUGGGAGAGUAGGACGUCGCCA
This 112-nucleotide ribosomal RNA is filed under the name Paenibacillus rubeinfantis. The record is from RNAcentral. Lineage: Bacteria; Bacillati; Bacillota; Bacilli; Caryophanales; Paenibacillaceae.